RNAcentral lists this ribosomal RNA (519 nucleotides) under uncultured bacterium. Its description in RNAcentral is "partial 16S ribosomal RNA". It matches the Rfam family "Bacterial small subunit ribosomal RNA", at positions 28 to 507 of the family's 1533-position model. The record is from RNAcentral.
GACGAACGCUGGCGGCGUGCCUAAUACAUGCAAGUCGAGCGAGUCUGCCUUGAAGAUCGGAGUGCUUGCACUCUGUGAAACAAGAUACAGGCUAGCGGCGGACGGGUGAGUAACACGUGGGUAACCUGCCCAAGAGAUCGGGAUAACACCUGGAAACAGAUGCUAAUACCGGAUAACAACAGAUGAUGCCUAUCAACUGUUUAAAAGAUGGUUCUGCUAUCACUCUUGGAUGGACCUGCGGUGCAUUAGCUAGUUGGUAGGGUAACGGCCUACCAAGGCGAUGAUGCAUAGCCGAGUUAAGAGACUGAUCGGACACAUUGGGACUGAGACACGGCCCAAACUCCUACGGGAGGCAGCAGUAGGGAAUCUUCCACAAUGGACGCAAGUCUGAUGGAGCAACGCAGCGUGAGUGAAGAAGGGUUUCGGCUCGUAAAGCUCUGUUGUUGGUGAAGAAGGACAGGGGUAGUAACUGACCUUUGUUUGACGGUAAUCAAUUAGAAAGUCACGGCUAACUACGUG